AGGUUCUUAAAAACAGGGCUAUUACAGAAUCCCAUCAGAACUCCGCAGCUAAGCAUGCUUGGGCAAGAGUAGUACUAGGAUGGGUGACCUCCUAGGAAGUCCUCGUGUUGCACCCC
RNAcentral lists this ribosomal RNA (116 nucleotides) under Beta vulgaris subsp. vulgaris (sugar beet). The record is from RNAcentral. Lineage: Eukaryota; Viridiplantae; Streptophyta; Magnoliopsida; Caryophyllales; Amaranthaceae.